CAUGCAGGUUCAUGCUGCUCAGCGUUGUUUGCAUGGCUGCCUUGCUGGGAGAGGUGAUAUUAUGUGCCAUGGUGCAGCAGGACAGCACAAACAUUGUGACACCACGUUAAGACAUCACUCUGUGCUCUGUACUAUAUAAGGAACUGGCGUGCCAGGCCUGCAAGGCACAGUAUGGCUGACCUGGUGGGUUUGUUCACCAAGCCACAAGGGAGUGUCUUCAGCAAAGGGUGGCCAGGACGAACAGGCCUAUAAGAAGGGAAGUAGCAGCUGAAGCUAAUUUCCUUAGAAAACGAAGGAAGGAAGAUAUCAGAUAGAACUUGGGCAAUAAACCUGACUUCAAGAUGUCAGAGGAAGAUGAUUCAUAUCUGAAUGUAAAAAGAUCUCUGAAAAGGAGAAUGGUGAAACACAGCACCCCAGUGGACUCAAUGCUUUCAAGAGCAACUCCAUCUCUUAUAGAUCUGACAAAUCAGUCAAUCAAGGACCAAGAUGCCACAAAGCGAGUUUAUGGAUCUCCAAUGCCAAAAUCAGAUCUAAGCAGAUCAUUAUCUCAAGUGUCAUCAGUGCGUGUUGAUGCGUACAUCCCUCACGUGUCCCCAAAAAGACUUUCAACAGCAUUUGAUUUGCAAGAAUUAAAUAAAGAGAAAACUCAAAGCUCUCAGCUUGUAUUUUCUAGAAGGAGGCUUUCUACUGUGUUGGCCUCUGAUGAAUCAAGUCAAGAGCCAGCUCAUAAGGUUGUCCCAGAUACAGAAACUCAAGCUACCACCAGAGCAUCUGUGGAUGCUGCAGCAACUCCCAAGAGUGGACCUUCAUGGCUUGUUUCUGGCAUACCAGGGAUAAAAGAUCCUCUGCCAGCAAAAUCCAGAAAGAAGAAAAUUGAUAAAACU
Molecule: non-coding RNA, 884 nt
Organism: Cyanistes caeruleus (blue tit)
Lineage: Eukaryota; Metazoa; Chordata; Aves; Passeriformes; Paridae
Source: RefSeq, a predicted model, not a curated record